CAAAAAUAAAAAAAAAAAAUACUUGAGGGGCACCUCGGUGGCUCAGUCAGUUAAGUGUCCAGCUCUUGAUCUCGGCUCAGGUCAUGAUUUCACAGUUGAUGAGAUCAAGCCCCGAGUUGGGCUCUGUGCUGACAGUGCAGGUGGAGCCUGCUUGGGAGUCUCUCUUUCUCCCUCUCUCUGCCCCUCCCCCUCCUGCACACACAUCUCUCUCUCAAAAAUAAACAUUAUUUUUAAAUGUUUUAUUAUUUUUGAGAGAGAAAGGAGCAUGAGCGGGGGAGGGGCAGAGAGAGGGAGACACAGAAUCAGAAGCAGGCUCCAGGCUCUGAGCUGUCACCACAGAGCCUGAUGUGGGGCUUGAACUGGGGAACAGUGAGAUCAUGACCUGAGCCAAAGCCAGAGAGCUAACCGACUGAGCCACCCAGGUGCCCCCCAAAAUAAACUUUUUUUAAAAAGUAUUUGAGGGGCACCUGGGUGACUCAGUCGGUUAAGCAUUCAACUUCAGUUCAGGUCAUGAUCUCACAGUUCAUGGGCUCGAGCCCCACAUCGGGCUGUCUGGUCUCAGCACAGAGCCUGCUUUGGAUCCUCUGUCUCCUUGUCUCUCUCUGCUCCUCCCCUGCUCAGCUUUCUCUCUCUCUCUCUCUCUCUCUCUCUCUCUCAAAAAUAAAACAUUUAAAAAUUAAAAAAAUAAAAAUAAAAAUUUUAAAAAGUACUUGGGAGAUAAGGGAGCAGCAGCUUGGUGUGAGCUCUGCCCCACGUUCCUCCACCUUUCCCUUCCCUCACCAGGCUAUGAAGGUCCCAGGUCCCCUGUACACGCUUGAUGGCACCCCUUUGUCCUUCUCCCAUGCCCCUUCUCCAUUCUGGGAGGAAUAAGGCAUGUAAGGCCGGACCUUAGACCACCACCACCUUCUUCAGCACUGCUGGCUGACUGGGGGCAAGAGGCAGCAUAGUGGCAAGUGCCCUGAACUUGUAGUCAGACAGGCCUGAGUACUAGUCUUGGCUCCGUCACUUACUAGCUGGAUGCCCUAGGGCAAGUAACCUCUCCGAGCUUUCAUUUCCUUAUCCACAAAAUGGGGAUGGAGGAAAUCACUAAUUUUGCAAGAUUGUUGGGAGGACUCUGUUCACAUAUGUCAGAGAAAUUUGUGUAUGAUAAAGUGCUUUGCCAAAGACAGGGGUGGAGCGCCUGGGUGGCUCAGUCGGUUGUGUCUGACUCGGUUUAGGAUCAGGUCAUGAUCCCAAGGUUCAUGGGUUCGAGGCCUGUGUCAGGCUCUGACAGUGCAGAGCCUAUUUGGGAUUCUCUCUCCCUCUCCCUCUCUCUCUCUCUCUCUCUCUCUCUCUCUCUCUCUCUCUCUCCCUCUCCCCCUUUGUCUUAAAAUAAAUAAAUAAACUUAAAAAAAGGGGAGUGAUGGCGGCCUCCAGGAAGGGGCCCUCCCUGCCUGGCAGAAGUGAGGGAUGGGGGGUGGGGACGGGGCAGCUGAGGGACCCCUUUUGGACCAAACACUUCCCUCCCUCUUGCCUGCCAUGGGGUGUCAGCGUUCCCAAGUGAGGGGUGGUGGGGAAGCCUGGGGCCAGAGAUUCCCUGAACCCACCUUCGGAGAAGGUAGACGCAUCAGUGCUAGACGCCACGCCAGCCAGCAGGUGUCGUCUCUCCCAGCUGGGUAACCUGUUUACAUCUGAGAGAGUACAGAGUGGCAACAGCAGCAGCACCCCUUUCCUCCCACCAGCCAUUCACUCUUCAAACAUCUCCUGAGAAGCUCCACCAGCCCCCUGGAGAUACAGAAAUUAAAACAGGCACCCAACAGUCCCUGCUCUCAAGGGGCUGGGGGAGGGGUGAGGAGAGGGACGCCAAUAAACAUCCACCAAUAAAAUGACACAAAUCAGGGUCUCCAAUCCAGCCUGCUUUUCCUGAGCACACGGUCAAUAUCCUCUUGGGCGUUCCCCAAACCUCUUAGGCUGGCAUGUCCCACACGAACCUAUCAUCUUCUCCCUACCUUCCAUGAACCAUCUCUUGUCUCUUCCAUUUCAGAGAGGAAUAGGCAUCCCAGCUAGGAAUCUAAGGAUCAUUCUUUACCUCACCUCCACACCACCUUGAUGAUGCGAGUCUCGCCAUACCUACCUCUAUGUUGGUUGAAACCUUCAUUAUCUCUAAGACAGCUGCAGGGGCCUCCUGCAAUAUAGUGGGCACUGGCCCACUAUAUUCCUUCUGUUUAACAGCAUUCCACUGCCUUCAGGAUGCGGUGCAAACUCCUUAUCAUGACAUAACUGGCCCCCCAGGACCCAGCCCCUGGUUCCUUCCUCAGUCACAAGUUUCUCUCACCCAUCCAUCCUUCCUCCCACCCCUCCCUUCUCCAUUCUUUCUCUCCUGCCUCCCACUCCCCAGAAACACCUGUUCACCUUGGAAAGAACAAAGCUAGCUAUCCAAGUAGAAUUGGUCACACAUGUCGUAUACCCUUUACCCUGCCAUGGUACUUCAUGAAGUUAUUUCACAGCAACUUGAGAACCCAUAUUUUAUCUGCCUCUGAAAAGUGCUCAGUAAAUACUGGGUUGGUCUUUUUUUUUUUUUUUGAAGACUAUGAGUAAAAUAGAAUAAACCCACUAUUGGAACCACACACAAAGAAGCUACAGCAUUGGAGGUUCUGCCCAGGGUUCAAAGCCAGGGACUUUUCUAGGAAAAGAGAAUUAACCCAGGAUGAGCAUCCUCCCAAUGUUACGCACUGUGCUGGGCUUUUAGAAUAUGCUUUUGAUUCUAAUGUUUUUAUUUAUUUUUGAGACAGAGAGAGACAGAGCAUGAGCAGAGGAGGGGCAGAGAGAGAGGGAGACACAGAAUCAGAAGCAGGCUCCAGGCUCUGAGCUGUCAGCACAGAGCCCGACGAGGGGCUUGAACUCACAGACUGAGAUCAUGACCUGAGCUGAAGUCGGACGCUCAACGGACUGAGCCACCCAGGUGCCCCUGCUUUUGAUUCUAAAUCACCACCACAAUCCAGUCUGUGGAUGGGGACUCAGAGACUCAGGAAAAAGCCUGUUCAAAGACAAGUUAAUAGGGGUUCCUGGGUGGUUCUGUCAGUUAAGUGUCCAAUUUCAGCUCAGGUCAUGAUCUCAUGGUCCGUGAGUUUGAGCCCCAUGUCGGGCUCUGUGCUGACAGCUCAGAGCCUGGAGCCUGCUUCAGAUUCUGUGUCUCCCUCUCUCUCUGUCUCAAAAAUAAAAAUUAAAAAAAAAACAUUAAAAAAAAAAAGACAAGUUAAUAGAUGGCAGAGGAAAGAGCUCUGUAUGACCUGUGCUCUUGUAGCCCUGUCUACUUGGGGUUCCUAUCCAAACCCCAUCCUGCUAGCUGUCACUUCCUACUGCACCUGUUUUCCAGCUCCAACACAGCCAAUUCUUCAUCCUCUGUUUUUACUCAUUCCUGACUUCACAACCUCCCAUAUCCAGCCUCCACCCUAAGGUCAGACAGAAGGAGUCAGAGGAACCUGAGCCAGUGUCAGGAUUCAAAUUCUGCUUUAUCUGACUCCACUGUUUUUGCUGUCUCCGGAGUCACCAUGAAGGAGGCUUGUAGACAGGAUCCACUGACUAACUCUUCCCAAAACCCCAAGAAGCCCUGACAAUCAUAACUCCUUUUGCCAAGGGGUGAGAUUUAGUAACUCUCCUCAGAUCUGAGGAAGGCAAUCUGCUCUCUAGUUUCACAGACAGAAGGGGAGCUCCUACUGAAGCAGCAGUCCAUCGCUCCUGCAGGAGAAAUAAUGGUGGCGGGACACAGAGCGAGCUUCAUAAUGAAAUGAGGAGAGUGAUAGCUUGAAAGGAAGAGGGAGGCUUGUGGUCUUUUUCUCGGUAGGUAAUUCAUCCGGAGAACAGGGGUCUAACUCAAAACUCACAGGUGAUGCUCAUUUGUACAGAAUCUUCUCAGUCCUGCGGGCUGAGGAACUCCCCCUGACCUUGUGGCACAGGUGGGGCGGAGUUCCAGGUUGGGCACCAAAGCAGCUGAAUGGGGGAGGAAGGGUGGGGGAAAGGGAGAAAGGAAAGGAAGAAGGGAGAAGGAGGGAGCAAGGCAGGACAGUCUUCUGGGAAAUGCCGCUCCGGCUCCGCCCACAUCUGAAGGCGAUUGUGAUGUCACGCGUGGAGCCCCCAGACUCCUUCCUCCCCUUAGAGUCAAUGAAACCUCCUGCCCCAGCCUGGCGACUGGGUGGGUGCUGGACCAGGGCUCCAGACAGGCCCCGAAUUUCUUAGGCAGCAGCCGGGGCCCGGCUGCGACAAGGCAAGGCCUUCCAGCCUACAGAACCCGUGUUAGCAGCUCGGGCUCCAGCCAGACAGGCACAGCCCAACCCGCAGGCGUUCCCCAGAGCCUCAGCACCCCAGUCCUCAAUCAUUGGUCCGCGGCUCGGCGUGAGCCCGCCCCCAGGCCCUAACUCCGCCCAGCCCGGCCUCUGGUCCCGCCUCCUUCUCCAGGCUCUUUCCAGUUCUACACUCUCCUUGUGUGCCACGCCCCCAGCUCGAAACCCACCCCCAAACUCCUGCCCCGCCCCUUCCUUACCAGUGCUGUUCUCAUCCCAGGCUCUGGUAUUGUCCUUAGCCUUUUCCUUAGUCCACCUUUUCAUCGUCAGUGUCGUCCUGACCCACAUCGCUCAGCCCAGUUCUUCGUCGCUACAAGACUCUUCCUUGCAGAAGUCCAAUCCUGAACCUCAGCUUGGUCGAGGCAACCGUAAACCCCAAUCUCCGCUUCACCCCAGUCCAGCCCUUAACUCCGCCUCAUGCUUGCCCAACCCCUCCCUCCACCUUCCCCCGGUUCUGCGUUGUGUUAGCCCAAUCUAAACUUCAACGGCGCUCUUCAUCCGGGGCCUCCCAGCUCUUCCAGGCCCCUUUUUGUCCCACCUUUAAUUUUAGUACCUCCCCUUUCUCUCAGGCCUAAACCCUAGCUUGGCCGCUGAGGCCCAGCCCUCAGUCCCAUCCCUAGUUUCUUUCCAGACCUACUCCCAGCUCUUAGUCCUGUCCCCAGAUUUUAGCCCCGCCCCUAUCCCCGUUCUUAGCCCCGCCCCAGCCAUUCUCUCAACCUCAAGCUUCGGUCGCAAUCCAGCCCCUCCCAACCCUUCCGGAACUCAGCCCCGGCCCUUGAGCCCCUCCCGCCUCCCCCCAGCCUACCGAGGUCCCUCCCGCUCUGGAGCAUAGUCUCCGACUCAACGCGCGUUCGCGCUCUCUCUCUCUCUGCCCUCAGGCCCCUCCACAGGAGUCCAAGGCCCACCACUCUAGGUGAGGACUUGAUGUCGGCUCCCAGCCCCUUGUGGCACCCCACCCCCACCCCAGAGCCCCUUCCCAGCUCCUGGCCCCCACAGGCGCCCUGUCCCAGAGACAAUACCAGCCAAUAAAGAUGUCCACAUAGAGCCAGGAUCUUGGUUACAAUUCCCCCAAAACAAUUAUUAAAAUAGUUAAGGCUUUUGAGCUCUUAAUUUUUUUUACAUGUAUUUAUUUUUGAGAGACAGAGCACACGUUGGGGAGAGGCAGAGAGAAUGAGACACAGAAUCCGAAGCAGGCUCCAGGCUCCGAGCUGUCAGCACAGAGCCCCAUGCGGGCCUCGAACUCACAAACUGUGAGAUCAUGUAGAGUGGGACGCCUAACCGACUGAGUCACCCAGGCGCCCCCCCCCUCCUUUUUUUAGAGCUCUUCUUAUGUGUGUUAGUAGUGUUUUAUUUAUUCCGCAAACUCAGGUGUCUCCAUAGGCUUGCCUGUGAGGGGAGCAGGGCCGGCUGCAUUCAUAGUAACCUACUCUAUGCAUACAUAAAAAGUCUACUCAUCACACGUGGACUAAUGCCAUAUGUACACAUGCACAUGCCCCUCACAGACAUCACCCAGAACAUUGAACCAUAUCCUUGCUCCCACACCCUAUGAAGCACAAACAUUCCACAGCAGUUCCGCAGUGCAGGCUUCACACACACACACACACACACACACACACACACACACACACACACACCAUUGAGUUACAUACAGGCUCUGGGCAACACCACAAGACAAGAGGUGAUGACCACAGUCCUGUUAGGGAAGAGAGAUGGAAAAAAAUACUUCUUUGAGGGGAACAGUGAGGACUUAAAUGGGGGAACCUCCUGACUCAGAGCAUGCCUUUUUCUUUUUGAAAGGGAAAAAAUGAGCUGUUUUUCUUUUCUUUUUCUUUUUUCUAAGUAAGCUCUAGGCCCAACAUGGGGCUUGAACUCACACCCUGAGGUCAAGAGUUGCAUGCUCCACCGACUGAAACAGCCAGACUGUUUUGUUUUGUUUUGAACUUAGUUAUUUAAUCCUUUUUUUUUUCAUUUUUUUAAAUGUUUUUAUUUAUUUUUGAGACAGAGAGAGACAGAGCAUGAGCAAGGGAGGGGCAGGGAGAAGGGGAGACAUAGAAUCUGAAGCGGGCUCCAGGCUCUGAGCUGUCAGCACAGAGCCUGACGCGGGGCUCGAACUCACAGAAUAUGAGAUCAUGACCUGAGCUGAAGUCGGACGUUCAACUGACUGAGCCACCCAGGCGCCCCUUUAAUCCUGUUUUAAAAUGUAAAAUGAGAGGCUUAGUCAGUUAAGCCUCUAACUUUGGCUCAGGUCAUGAUCUCACUGCUUGUGUGUUUGAGUCCAGCAUUGGGCUCUGUGCUGACAACUCAGAGCCUGGAGGCUACUUCACAUCUGUGUCUCCUCUCUGCCCCUCUCCCACUCUAUUGCUCUGUCUCUCUCUCAAAAAUAAACAAUAAAUAAUAAUAAUAAUAAUAAUAAUUUUAAAUGAUACUACUCAUACAUUUAUGUUUAUAUCACUAAUAUAGUUAGUUGUUAGAUAACACAUCUUCUGAGUAAAAGCCAAGCCCAUACCCACUCUGGGCCUUCUGGUCAACCCAAAGAGCAUGCAAAACUCAGUCACUCCUUACUGUGUUCCCCUCAGGGAAAUAUUUUUUAUUUUAUUGUAUUUUCUUAAUGUUUAUUUUUGAGGUGGGGGGAACAGAGGAUCCUAAGCAGGCUCCACGCUGACAGUUGAGAGUGCAAUGUGGGGCUCGAACCAUGAGAUCAUGACCUGAGCACAAGUAGGACAUUUAACCAACUGAGCCACCCAGGCGCCCCCAGAGAAGUAGGAAGGGAAGGUAGGAAGAGGAUGGAAAAAAAAGAAGAAAGUAUCCAAUGGAAGAAAUCUGGGAACAAGCACCAAGUAGGAGGACACAGGUGGGGAUAAGGAACCAAAGGAAAGAGCUCUCAAAACCAAACACUGAGAGUCCAGGAUAGCCCUCCAAAUCUGGUUCCUGAGCUCCCAGCCUUUCUGAGGCCUGCCCAGGGGUCAGGUAUGGCCAGAAUCCCACAGGAAGCUCCGGUCCCAAGACAGUCAUACAGUUCUGCCCAUUCCACAUCCCUCAUCCCCAACAAAGGACUCCAGUCCCCAAACUGCUAAUAACAGAGAUUUUAAUGCAUAAGGCACAGUGUAAGGCUUGGAUCAUUAAGCAUCCUCAUACUCAAGGGGUCCAGCAGGCUAAGCAAAAGCAGCAGGGACUACCUCCCCACUGCUGGGCAGCCCGGAGAGCCCCUGGGGAGGGAGGACAUCUAGUCUUUGGCAUGGUGUCUGGGGCAGGAAGUGACUAGCAUGGUCCCUGCUACCCCUCCAGGGGUACUGCCACGAAGGGGCAGCUCUUUGGUCUGGAAAAACAAUCAGUGCAAAUGUCCAGGGUCGAGCUCUAGGGCAAUCAAGGUGGCACAGUGCCCCAGGGCUGGCCAGUCUCUCGACCGUCCCCUUACCGCUCACGGGCAGCACGUGGGCUUCUUCUUGUUGGCAGUUAGGUAAAGGUUGCUGUCAUCACUGUUGAUGCCUGAAGAAGGGUGGGAAAUAUGUGAGGCAGGGAUGAGAGGUUCCCCGUGCUCCCUGCCACCCUCAUCCAGGUAGGCACUCACGGACAACAUCCCCAAUGCGCCGGGCCCCCGAUUUCUCCAGCUCAGCCAGCACGUUGGCCUCAAAGGUCAGUGCCGCCACACGGAAGAAGAAUUCCCGGACAUUUUCACCUGACACGUGGAGCAAACGGGUGCUUAGGGGCAGUUCCAAGCCUGGGGUCACUGGGCACAGCUGAAGGUAGAGGAAUGAGAGGCCAGGUAGGCGGGAGUGCCAUUUCAAAAGACCUGAAGCCGCUGACUCACCAGUGAGAGAUGAGACCGCCCAGUACUCAGCCUUCAUCUCUUGGGCCACCUUGAGUGCGUCUUUCUCCAUUAGCAUAUACUGAGCAGGAGUCUGACAGAAGGGCAGAGUCAGACGGCAAGGGUUGGGGAGGAGCCCCUCACCAAAACGGAAGUACCCCCUGACUGGCACACUUACACUCAAGUCCUUCUUGGAACCCACGAGGAAGAGAAGCACACUGGAAGGGUCGUUCUCCUUGAGUGCAUCAGCUAGCCACUGCCUGCCAUAGAGGGUAGACAAUCAAGGAUGAGUGAGCUGGACAGGCUCCUCCUGCUGUCACUCAUAUGCCCAUUACCCUCUCUCUGGUCCCCGAUGCAUUCUUCUUCACUACCGAUAUACCUGACCACCCCUCUUUUCUGAACCCUCUCUUCCCAAAGCUCCCAUUACAGUGCAGCAUCCCUACAUACUUGGUAUGUUCCAGGGAGGCCACAUCAUUCAGGUUGAAGACGAUGAUGAUGGCUGGAAAAGUGACAAAAACAGCUGACAUUACUGGCUCAUUUCCCAAAUCCCCCCAAGUCCUAGAUUGGAGGCCAGGAACACCCACCUGCCCCAUCUCACCCCCGCCCUUACCUUGAGCCCCUCGGUAAUAGGUUGAUGCAAUGCAUUUGAACCUCUCCUGUCCAGCAGUAUCCCAGCUGGGAGGAAGCAGGGGGUAAAACACGGGUAUGUGGGAGGGGCCUGUGAGGUGGGGUAUAGGUGCUGGGGGAAGGAAUGGCUGGAAGGUAUGGAGAAAGCACUCACAGCUGCAGACUGAAGGGGACGCCCAACACCUCAAAUCGUUCCAUCUCAAAGUCCACUCCAAUGGUGGCCUUGUAAUUCUUAUCAAAAGUAUCUUUGCAGAACCUGCAGGAGUACCAGAUGCUCUGGCCCUGAGCCCAGUCCACCUGGCUAGGUCUGGCUGAACCCUGCCCGGCCCAAACCAGCCCAACUAGAGGUGCCUUCUUACCUAUUAAUGAGACAAGUCUUCCCUACGGACAGGUCCCCCACCACAAUGACUUUGGAGAUCUUAAAUCUGCAGGACACAAAGGUGGGCAGGAGGAAUGAGCACUAACUCUUGCAACCUAGAGAGUCUCAAUGUUCCGUACUAGAUCUAUAACGUUAGCAGCACCCAGGCUGGGGUUACCAUAGGCACGGGGCCUCCCAGGCAGCUUGCCUGGACACACUUGCUGGGGAGGAGUGUUUUCUGCUUCAGCAUCAAAGAAACAUGAAUUGGAAUCCCAGUUCUUACACUUACUAGCUGUGUGACUUUGGACAAGUUACUUGGCCUCUCUGAGCCUCAGUUUCAACAUGUGUUAGGUAAAGAUUUAGUAUAUAUUCUAUUGGGUUGUUGUGACAAUUGAAAUAAGAUCAAUGUCCUAUAUUCUGAGACAUACCUCCCCUUCAGCCUCCACACAUACAUUUGAUAACAUCUCUGAAAUCAGGAUACAGCUUAAAAGUGAUGGUGUUUUCCAUUUAAUAAAAUACAGUAAUAGUAACCAACACACUGCCCGGGCACAUAGUAAAUGCUCAGUUAAUGGUUGGCAAGUGUUACUAGUAUUACCUUCUUUUAUCCAUAAUGGGACACAUCCCUCCAGGCACAUCCCCCUGCCCUAGGGCUCAAAUGUAUGGUAUGUGGGAAGCUGAGCUCCUGACCACACCAGCCCCGCACCUCCCCCUUGCACACCUUCUGUUUCAGGAAGUGAACUACCACCUUUCUACCCCACCCCAUUUCAUAGGACUCAUCACAAGCUUGCUGGGAAGAAAAGGGAGAACACGUGGAUAUAAAAAGGGGGAAUAACCAUAUAUAGCUGGGAGAAGCUGAAAUGGAGCCCCAGGGGUGCUUGUGCACCCUAGCUUUGACUACAGGGUUUCCUGAGCCUUCCUUUCUUUGUUAAGGGUGUCUAACUCACCCCACGGUGCCUGUCCGGUGCUCCUGGCAGGCGCAGGUGACGCGGGGGUUGAAGUCUCUGUGCACGUGCAAAGCGGCCUCCUUCCUCAGGCACUGAGAGGGAUCGAAGAAAAUGGGACUCACCCACUCCUGGCCCCUGUCCCGCAGCCAAGCUGCGCUGGGCGGGGGUAGGGGACCACCCAGAAGCAGCCGACCUAGCCGGGUGGCAGGGCUGGGCCCAAGCCUCUAACUGAUCUGGUGCCGCCUCCUCCCGCCCACACCCCACCGCAGCCAGAAGCCCGACGUGGCCCUGGAGCCUACCUGGGGCAGCUCCGCCAGGACGCGGUCCCUCCGCACCGGCGCCAGAAUGUUCAUCUCGCCUACGGCCUUGCGGGGAGCCCCGAGAAGGCACUGGAGCCUGAUCCGCCCCAGCGACCCGGGCCCGUGGAGACCCGACAAUCACCCGCGACCGAGGUGUCCCGACUAUAACUCUGGGCCACGGGGAGCCUCCAGGAGCUCGCGGCCUCGGAGACGCUACGACCACAGCGGGCCACGGGGAUGAAACAAUCAUCCGAGGCCGGGGCGAACCCACAAUCACCCGGGCCCGGGGGGUCCCGAAGAUGACUCGGGGGCGGGGAGACUCCUCCGCCGCCAAAUGGGGGCGGGAAGUCCCGUCCGGAGGGGGCCGGGCCCGCGCAGACCCCACAAUAACUCGGGGUCGGAUAGUUCCUACAAUGACUCGGGGCCGCGGUGACCCGACGACAACUCGGGGUUCAGGCGGCCCUACCAUAACAGAGCUGCCUGGGGGCGCGGAGCGGCCCCGCCGCACGGGGUCAGUGUGCUCAGGGAUGGCGCUGCAAGGCCCGCGGGCUGCUGGAGGAGGGGGCCUGGGUCCCAGACCGCAGCAGGACCUGGCGUCCCACUCAGCUCUCCCUCCGCGAGCGCUGUAACAUGAUCCCCGGAAAUUCCUGGAGAAGGGCCGCCCCCCGCCCCUCUCCCGGCAGCUCCCGGCCUCGCGGGCUGUCCCAACCUCCCCUCCUCUCCUCCCCACUGCGCUGCCCCAGCUCUGGCUACCCUUCCAGAUACCCCACGGGCACCGGGACCGCCUCCACGCAGGCUGGAACCUGUCCAGAUCGAGGUCUCCCAGGUUGCUCUCCCUUGCGACUCUGCGCCGGGCUGCGGCUUCAAGGGGACCCUUACCCAGGCAAACUGGUGAUGGAGAACCGUGAUUGCUGCGCAGUAUCUGGCUAGGCCAGGAACCCGCGGGGAGGGGAAAGGAGGAGAGAAGGGGCCCGAGGAGAGGCGGCGCUUCCCUCCUCAACUCCAGGCCCAGGACGUGACUCAUAGAGUCUGCCCUCGCUCGCCCUUCUGCCCUGGGAUAGGAUGGGGUGGGGGGAAGCACACAGGGGAUGCCAGGGUCGGAAUGGGAUGCUCACCGAGAAAAGAGACGUCUGAAGUCUGGUGUCUUUUCCUUCAAAGCGGUGUAGAUUGACGGGUGGGGAGGCUGAAGACCACGCCUGGAUGGAAGAUAAAGAAGGGGUAGGUAGACCUGAAACUCUGCCCUUUGGGUAGGUCACCGCUUUGGGACAUGGGGCCUUAGCUCUGGUAUAGGCGUUCUCUCUAGUCCCAUUGGAACCAACCCUCAAGGACAACUUUUCCGUUCUGCAGGAUAAAAGAGGGGUGUGGCACACAAUAAUUCUCACUGUCAAAGGGGGAGCCCUGGCUCCAAAGAGGAGAGGAGGAAGAAAGAAAGGUCAGGGUGGAGGUGGGAUAGACACAGACCCUCACAGAAGCAAACCUGAGCUUUACUAAAACUUGCUCUGUGUCAGGAACUGAUUUUGAGGAUGCAAACAUGACUGAAGCAAGGAUGGGAGGACUACUUAAAGGGAGGGGACUGUAAAUGAAAUUAUUCACAAGAAUUAGCAAAUCCUGGAGAAAUCUGUACACUGGGUGUUUGGAAUAUUGGUAGAGUUUCAAGAGUAUUAUUGGGAAAACACACAAAAUCUGACUGUCACAGGUAAAGAGGGGCAGAUGUGGCCACCUUCUACCUCCUCGGAUACUUUCCUCUUCCCCUCUGCCUGACUCAAACUUUUCUUUCUUUCUUUUUUUUUAAUUUUUAAAAAAUGUUUACUUAUUUAUUUUGAGACAGAGAGAGAGCCCGCGAGCGCGCAAACAUGGGGGCGUGGCAGAGAGAAAAUCCCAAGCGGGCUCCAAACUGUCAAUGUGGGGCUCCAACUCCCCAACCGUGAGAUCAUGACCUGAGCCAAAAUCAAGAGUCCCACGCUUAACCGGCAGCCACCUAGGCUCCCCUUGACUUUUUCUAACACCAAAUCACUGUUAUUGAUAAACUACAUCCCCUCUCUGGACCCAAAUUUCUACAGAUGUUGUUUGAAGGACUUGAACCAAAUUCUGCUCUAACGUUCUAGAACUUCUCUUUACUCUCCAAAUCAACCUAAUUAUAUUCACUUCAGUUUUCAGUGUUACUGUCUCCUGCAACUACGAUCCUCUUUCCUCAAGAUGGAAAGCGCUCAGGACCAAACGCAAGCGGCAGCUGGCUGCACCAUCCACCAUCCACCCGCAGCAGCAAAUAAACACGUGUCUCCAAAACACUACAACUCCCAAGAAGCUAUAGUGUCUUUCGAGGGAAGAGGUGGAGCAUGCUUAAUCACUCUGGGGAGGAAACUAAGCUUAACUACCAUUCCCGGCGGUCUCCGCGCCAUAGAUUAUCCAAUGAGCUUUAAAUGAAAAGUAUCGCGAUUCUUCCGUGAGACUUGGCUCUAUAAGCCCCUGGAAACAAGCCUCGGAAAUCCUUUUCACGAAGAUGGCGCCGAAGGCGAAGAAGGAAGGUCUGUGCUGGGGCUGGGGGUACCGCAGCUAGUUGGCCUGGGAUUCCCGCAGAGUGAACAAACUGGGAGGAUGGAGGCUGAGCUAGUUCUUGGGGUGUCUGCUCCGGAGCUGCUUCUAGCAUUCUGCCACUCUACGGCGCGCGUGGGCCCAGCCGCAUGGGCUGAGCUCCGUGACAGGGUUUGGGGAGGCAAGUCCGGCCGCCACCACCUGUCGGGGCUGCCAGACUGUUGGCUUUGGGGAACUACACGCAUCCAUAGGCCGGAGUUUCAUGUCUCCAGACCUGAGUUGUCCGCACCUAAUUUUCCUUUUUUCCACGUGUUAGACGGGGCCAUGAACAGUUAAAACUAUUAGAGUAUAUGUUGUCAAGUAUCAAGCAUUCGAUCAUUGCUAGGUGUUUUUUUUUUUUUUCGUCGUAUCGCUGGAGUUAUUCCAAGUUCGCCCCAGUACCGUGCAUAUGAUGGAAAAAUUGUAACCUCCUGAGACUUGUGAUGUCUUCAAAGGAACCGCUGAUGCACGUGUGCCUUGGAGCGCCCGCUAGGGGUCUUGAGGACGGAAGUGAAUGGUUUCUGAAUCCCGUGCCUUCAUAUUCUUUAUUUUAGCCCCUGCCCCUCCCAAAGCCGAAGCCAAAGCAAAGGCCUUGAAGGCCAAGAAAGCAGUGCUGAAAGGCGUCCACAGUCAUAAAAAAAAGAAGAUCCGUACGUCACCCACAUUCCGACGGCCCAAGACACUGCGUCUCCGAAGACAGCCCAAAUAUCCUCGAAAGAGCGCCCCCAGGAGAAACAAGUCAGUACUGCCCCUUUCCCAUGAAAAGAUAUUGGGUAUCCUCCAUUCGUAAUUUGGAAAUUUACCAGACCUACAGCACGCCUUGUCAAAUAUCUGUUGGUACCUAGUGUGCGUCUCUUAAUAGUGUGAAGAGAUUGUUAAUGCCCUAUUUAAGGACAAGAGGAGGCAUUUUGACAACAUUGGAAGGCUUUGUUUAAGACAACUCAGUGACUUCUGGUUAUUAGGUUAAUUAUUGCUUCGCAUAUGGUCAGGGUUUUAAAGUCUGCUUUCUUGGAGUAUAUAGUAGGACUUUGAUACAUGCUUUUGUUUUGGAGUUCCCUAUUACUGUAGGGGACAGUCCUUGAUGGUGACAGUGUGGGAUGAUUCUAGGUUGAUAAGGAUAUUUAAUAAUCUGUAUUAAUCAGAGAAGGCCUGCAGCGGUGUAUAGAAGCUUCUCAUUUACUCUCAACUCGUUAAACUCAAGGAAUAGUUGGGGGGAGGGGAGGGUUGGAGUUUUUGAGUAUUUGCCACACUACUGGUAAUAACUGACCUUAAAGGCCACAGAUUAAAACACCAGUAAUAAUUGCCACCUCCCACUGCUUUCCUAAGAAAAAGGCAGGAGUGGGUUCUGCCCCAUUUGGACCUAGGAGUUAGUGUGAGGAGAGGUUGAGACCUGAUGUCUAGCUUUAAAACAGGAAGCAGGUGUCCAGGUGAAUGGAGACUUGUUUCUCUGAAUUUCAGGGGGAAAGCUGUGUUGUAGGUGUGUUCAAGCCACUGUAGUUUUAACUUAGGCUGUAAAUAAGGGUUGCUCUCAGUUGAUGGCCCUCAAACCAGUUUUCACCAACCAGAGGGAGCAGAAAUGUCUGGCUAAUCUCCUGAUGAAGCACCAACAUUCUUUGGAACUCUAGCCUGGGUUUUAAGAUCCCAUAGUCCAGCUUUGUGCUCUAGGGGUAAGUUGUUUAACCUCAGAGGUGUCAAGUUUUCUUCCAGAAGUUUGCCCUCCAAAAUGUUGAGGUCAAAUAAAUAAUGGGGGGGGGGUUGGAACUCAGAGCUGAUUCUUUAAUCACUUAAAGGGUGAAAGUCGUUCAAGCAGAAGAGUACAGGGUUCUGUCCCCCAGGCUGAGGUUCCAGGUCCCUAAGUUACAGGGUGCAGAUGAUGACACUGUUUAGCGACCAAAGUCUGACAAAAAUGAUUGCUACUUUAUUGUCUGAUGCACCUGGGCUCUUCUGGCUUUGAGAUCUAAAAGAGACCUAAUCCUUUUAUUGGACCCAGGCCAGAUGACACCAUUUUGCCUCUUCCCCAGGCUUGACCACUAUGCCAUCAUCAAGUUCCCCCUGACUACAGAGUCGGCCAUGAAGAAAAUAGAAGACAACAACACUCUUGUGUUCAUUGUGGAUGUCAAGGCCAACAAGCACCAGAUCAAACAGGCCGUGAAGAAACUCUAUGACAUUGAUGUGGCCAAGGUCAACACUCUGAUCAGGUGAGCCAAGAAAUCUGCAUGGAGUCAGUAGGUUUCACAGCUUGCAAGCCUUGAGAAAUGAGUGAUUUCUGCUGUAGUUAGUCCUUUGUAUCUAUACAGACUUUAGAGGACACAUUAGUUCUCCUGCCUCUAGGACUUGAUGUAUGGAGUUAGUGUUCAUUUUCUUGAUCCCUAUACCUCUAGACAGGCCCUAGAGUAAGAUAAAAUUUAUGUCAGAUUACUUGGAGUUAAGUUUUAAAAUGUUAUAUGGUGUUCCAUGUAAAAGGGAGUUGACUUCAUUUGUGGCUUGGUGGCAUCCCUAGCCUCCUGUGCAAAUGCUGGAAAAGACAUGGACAAAGGAACCACUGAUGUGCCAUAAAGACUAGGGGAAGAAGGGAGGGUUUGGGGGCUGUGAGAACAGCGGGAACUAAAGCUUCCUUCAUCCUAGGCCCGAUGGAGAAAAGAAAGCAUAUGUUCGACUGGCUCCUGACUAUGAUGCUUUGGAUGUUGCCAACAAAGUAAGCUUCCUUUGCUGUUAACUCACCCCCGAAGUGCAAGUGAUGUGUCCAUUACUGACCAAAACCUGACUUGCUGAUUUAGUCUUAAAUGACUGCACCCCUAUCCUUAAUAGGCACUUUCCUUGCCUUAUUUUUGCUUUUUAAUCAUGACCUUCCAGCUUAAUCUUCACAUUUUAUCUCCCAGUAACAAAGCUCCCCUUUUGUUUUUCAGAUUGGGAUCAUCUAAACUGAGUCCAGCUGGCUAAAUCUAAAUAUAAAUUUUUUCAACAUAUAUGUU
This 15895-nucleotide long non-coding RNA is filed under the name Lynx pardinus (Iberian lynx). The record is from RNAcentral. Lineage: Eukaryota; Metazoa; Chordata; Mammalia; Carnivora; Felidae.